AUACGGAGGGAGCAAGCGUUAUUCGGAAUCACUGGGCGUAAAGGACGCGUAGGCGGGUUUGUAAGUCAGGUGUGAAAUCCUACAGCUCAACUGUAGAACUACACUUGAAACUACAGACCUAGAGUAUGGAAGGGGCAGAUGGAAUUAGUGGUGUAGGGGUAAAAUCCGUAGAUAUCACUAGGAAUACCGAAAGCGAAGGCGAUCUGCUGGGACAUUACUGACGCUGAGGCGUGAAAGCGUGGGGAGCAAACAGGAUUAGAAACCCGAGUAGUCC
This 274-nucleotide ribosomal RNA is filed under the name uncultured bacterium. RNAcentral's name for it is "partial 16S ribosomal RNA". It matches the Rfam family "Bacterial small subunit ribosomal RNA", at positions 523 to 796 of the family's 1533-position model. The record is from RNAcentral.